AACGAACGCUGGCGGCAUGCCUAACACAUGCAAGUCGAACGAGACCUUCGGGUCUAGUGGCGCACGGGUGCGUAACGCGUGGGAACCUGCCCUUAGGUUUGGAAUAACUCCCCGAAAGGGGUGCUAAUACCGGAUAAUGUCUUCGGACCAAAGAUUUAUCGCCUUUGGAUGGGCCCGCGUUGGAUUAGCUAGUUGGUAGGGUAAAAGCCUACCAAGGCGACGAUCCAUAGCUGGGCAGAGAGGAUGAUCAGCCACACUGGGACUGAGACACGGCCCAGAAUCCUACGGGAGGCAGCAGUGGGGAAUAUUGGACAAUGGGCGAAAGCCUGAUCCAGCAAUGCCGCGUGAGUGAUGAAGGCAUUAGGGUUGUAAAGCUCUUUUACCCGGGAUGAUAAUGACAGUACCGGGAGAAUAAGCUCCGGCUAACUCCGUG
This 433-nucleotide ribosomal RNA is filed under the name uncultured bacterium. RNAcentral describes it as "partial 16S ribosomal RNA". It matches the Rfam family "Bacterial small subunit ribosomal RNA", at positions 29 to 507 of the family's 1533-position model. The record is from RNAcentral.